This 433-nucleotide ribosomal RNA is filed under the name uncultured bacterium. Its description in RNAcentral is "bacterial SSU rRNA". It matches the Rfam family "Bacterial small subunit ribosomal RNA", at positions 355 to 786 of the family's 1533-position model. The record is from RNAcentral.
GGAUGAAUAUUGGUCAAUGGUCGGGAGACUGAACCAGCCAAGCCGCGUGAGGGAUGAAGGUACAGAGUAUCGUAAACCUCUUUUGUCAGGGAACAAAAGGCGCCACGCGUGGCGCUCCGAGUGUACCUGAAGAAAAAGCAUCGGCUAACUCCGUGCCAGCAGCCGCGGUAAUACGGAGGAUGCGAGCGUUAUCCGGAUUUAUUGGGUUUAAAGGGUGCGUAGGCGGCGAGUUAAGUCAGCGGUAAAAGCCCGGGGCUCAACCCCGGCCCGCCGUUGAAAUCUGCUUGCUUGAGUUGGAGAGAAGUAGGCGGAAUGCGCGGUGUAGCGGUGAAAUGCUUAGAUAUCGCGCAGAACUCCGAUUGCGAAGGCAGCCUACCGGCUCCACACUGACGCUGAGGCACGAAAGCGUGGGUAUCGAACAGGAUUAGAUACC